Molecule: microRNA precursor, 65 nt
Filed under: Tetraodon nigroviridis (spotted green pufferfish)
Lineage: Eukaryota; Metazoa; Chordata; Actinopteri; Tetraodontiformes; Tetraodontidae
Description: Tni-Mir-219-P3b_pre stem-loop
Rfam family: mir-219 microRNA precursor family
About the family: The hairpin precursors (represented here) are predicted based on base pairing and cross-species conservation -- their extents are not known. In this case the mature sequence is excised from the 5' arm of the hairpin.
Source: RNAcentral
UGAUUGUCCAAACGCAAUUCUUGUGUGAUUUCUCCAUAUUCAGGAGUUGUGGAUGGACAUCAUGC